RNAcentral lists this ribosomal RNA (254 nucleotides) under uncultured bacterium. RNAcentral describes it as "partial 16S ribosomal RNA". It matches the Rfam family "Bacterial small subunit ribosomal RNA", at positions 79 to 334 of the family's 1533-position model. The record is from RNAcentral.
CUUUCUUUGCUGGCGACCGGCGCACGGGUGAGUAACACGUAUCCAACCUGCCCUUUACUCGGGGAUAGCCUUUCGAAAGAAAGAUUAAUACCCGAUGGCAUAGUUCUUCCGCAUGGUAGAACUAUUAAAGAAUUUCGGUCAUCGAUGGGGAUGCGUUCCAUUAGGUUGUUGGCGGGGUAACGGCCCACCAAGCCUUCGAUGGAUAGGGGUUCUGAGAGGAAGGUCCCCCACAUUGGAACUGAGACACGGUCCAA